Molecule: ribosomal RNA, 448 nt
Filed under: uncultured bacterium
Lineage: Bacteria
Description: partial 16S ribosomal RNA
Rfam family: Bacterial small subunit ribosomal RNA
Source: RNAcentral
GCGCCAGACUCCUACGGGAGGCAGCAGUGGGGAAUAUUGCACAAUGGGGGGAACCCUGAUGCAGCAACGCCGCGUGAGUGAGGAAGUAUUUCGGUAUGUAAAGCUCUAUCAGCAGGGAAUAGAAAAGAAGGUACCUGAAAAAGAAGCCCCGGCUAACUACGUGCCAGCAGCCGCGGUAAUACGUAGGGGGCAAGCGUUAUCCGGAUUUACUGGGUGUAAAGGGAGCGUAGGCGGUGCAGCAAGUCAGAAGUGAAAGCCCGGGGCUCAACUCCGGGACUGCUUUUGAAACUGUUGAACUAGAUUGCAGGAGAGGUAAGUGGAAUUCCUAGUGUAGCGGUGAAAUGCGUAGAUAUUAGGAGGAACACCAGUGGCGAAGGCGGCUUACUGGACUGUAAAUGACGCUGAGGCUCGAAAGCGUGGGGAGCAAACAGGAUUAGAUACCCUCGUA